GAUUCCCCUAGUACGGCGAGUGAGCGGGAAGAGCUCAAAUUUGAAAUCUGGUAGCCUUCGGUUGCCCGAGUUGUAAUCUAGAGAAGUGUUUUCCGCGUUGGCCCAUGUACAAGUCCCUUGGAACAGGGCGUCAUAGAGGGUGAGAAUCCCGUCCUUGACAUGGACCCCCAAUGCUUUGUGAUACACUUUCAACGAGUCGAGUUGUUUGGGAAUGCAGCUCAAAAUGGGUGGUGAAUUCCAUCUAAAGCUAAAUAUUGGCGAGAGACCGAUAGCGAACAAGUACCGUGAGGGAAAGAUGAAAAGCACUUUGGAAAGAGAGUUAAACAGUACGUGAAAUUGUUGAAAGGGAAACGAUUGAAGUCAGUCAUGCUCUUUGGAUUAAGCCGUUCUGCGGUGUAUUUCAUUGAGCGGGGUCAACAUCAGUUUUGAUCGCUGGAAAAGGGCAGGAGGAAGGUAGCACUCUCGGGUGAACUUAUAGCCUCUUGUCGUAUACAGUGAUUGGGACUGAGGAACGCAGCAUGCCUUUUGGCCGGGAUUCGUCCACGUACAUGCUUAGGAUGUUGACAUAAUGGCUUUAAACGACCCGUCUUGAACAAACGGACCAAA
This 606-nucleotide ribosomal RNA is filed under the name Naganishia globosa. Its description in RNAcentral is "partial large subunit ribosomal RNA". It matches the Rfam family "Eukaryotic large subunit ribosomal RNA", at positions 73 to 670 of the family's 3401-position model. The record is from RNAcentral. Lineage: Eukaryota; Fungi; Basidiomycota; Tremellomycetes; Filobasidiales; Filobasidiaceae.